This 324-nucleotide ribosomal RNA is filed under the name uncultured bacterium. RNAcentral describes it as "bacterial SSU rRNA". It matches the Rfam family "Bacterial small subunit ribosomal RNA", at positions 29 to 338 of the family's 1533-position model. The record is from RNAcentral.
AUUGAACGCUGGCGGCAUGCUUUACACAUGCAAGUCGAGCGGCAGCGCGGGGUUCGGGCAACUGAGCUCUGGCGGCGAGCGGCGGACGGGUGAGUAAUGCAUCGGAACGUAUCCUGUAGUGGGGACGAACCCACGCGAAAGACUGGGCGUAAUAACCGCAUACGCUCUCAGGGGGAAAGGUAGGGCGUCGCAAGGGCCUCACGCUAGAGGAGCGGCCGAUGCCGAUUAGCUGGUUGGUGAGGUAAAGGACUUACCAAGGCGACGAUCGGUAGCUGGUCUGAGAGGAUGAUCAGCCACACUGGGACUGAGACACGGCCCAGACCU